AAAAACUUGGCAAGCCUUGGUCGAGGACUGGGAAGAUCAUGGAGGGCCCUGUCUUCCAGGACUUUGAAUUUUAUAUGACCCCAAGCAGCUCGUGGUACUAGUUCCCUGUAUGCCAUCUACUCCUGAGGCCCACCAAGAGCACAGGUGUGAUUUUGGACAACUGUCUGAUGACCCUCACUAGACUCUAAUCUCUGAAUGACCAGGAAUCGUGCUUACAUUUUGCUUAUCACUGUCUCUGGAGGCUGGUAGAGAAUCUGAC
Molecule: long non-coding RNA, 259 nt
Organism: Hippopotamus amphibius kiboko
Lineage: Eukaryota; Metazoa; Chordata; Mammalia; Artiodactyla; Hippopotamidae
Exons: 3
Source: RefSeq, a predicted model, not a curated record